RNAcentral lists this small nucleolar RNA (71 nucleotides) under Leptobrachium leishanense (Leishan spiny toad). Lineage: Eukaryota; Metazoa; Chordata; Amphibia; Anura; Megophryidae. The record is from RNAcentral.
GGUGCACAUGAUGUGUAACAGCGAUCAAAGUAUGAGCUCUGUGAUUCCAGCCUUUCAAUCACUGAUGCACC